This 229-nucleotide ribosomal RNA is filed under the name uncultured bacterium. RNAcentral describes it as "partial 16S ribosomal RNA". It matches the Rfam family "Bacterial small subunit ribosomal RNA", at positions 568 to 796 of the family's 1533-position model. The record is from RNAcentral.
UGCGUAGGCGGAAGAUUAAGUCAGUGAUGAAAUCCUGCAGCUCAACUGUAGAACUGUCAUUGAUACUGAUUUUCUUGAAUACAGUUGAGGUAGGCGGAAUAUGUAAUGUAGCGGUGAAAUGCUUAGAUAUUACAUAGAACACCGAUUGCGAAGGCAGCUUACUAAACUGUGAUUGACGCUGAGACACGAAAGCGUGGGGAGCGAACAGGAUUAGAUACCCUGGUAGUCC